AAACGACUCUCGGCAACGGAUAUCUCGGCUCUUGCAUCGAUGAAGAACGUAGCGAAAUGCGAUACUUGGUGUGAAUUGCAGAAUCCCGUGAACCAUCGAGUCUUUGAACGCAAGUUGCGCCCGAAGCCAUUAGGCUGAGGGCACGUCUGCCUGGGCGUCACG
Molecule: ribosomal RNA, 162 nt
Filed under: Verbena villifolia
Lineage: Eukaryota; Viridiplantae; Streptophyta; Magnoliopsida; Lamiales; Verbenaceae
Description: 5.8S ribosomal RNA
Rfam family: 5.8S ribosomal RNA
About the family: 5.8S ribosomal RNA (5.8S rRNA) is a component of the large subunit of the eukaryotic ribosome. It is transcribed by RNA polymerase I as part of the 45S precursor that also contains 18S and 28S rRNA.
Source: RNAcentral